Molecule: ribosomal RNA, 492 nt
Filed under: uncultured microorganism
Description: bacterial SSU rRNA
Rfam family: Bacterial small subunit ribosomal RNA
Source: RNAcentral
GAGUUUGAUCCUGGCUCAGAACGAACGCUGGCGGCGUGGAUAAGACAUGCAAGUCGAACGGGAGAAUUGCUAGCUUGCUAAUAAUUCUCUAGCGGCGCACGGGUGAGUAACACGUGAGUAACCUGCCCCCGAGAGCGGGAUAGCCCUGGGAAACUGGGAUUAAUACCGCAUAGUAUCGAAAGAUUAAAGCAGCAAUGCGCUUGGGGAUGGGCUCGCGGCCUAUUAGUUAGUUGGUGAGGUAACGGCUCACCAAGGCGAUGACGGGUAGCCGGUCUGAGAGGAUGUCCGGCCACACUGGAACUGAGACACGGUCCAGACACCUACGGGUGGCAGCAGUCGAGAAUCAUUCACAAUGGGGGAAACCCUGAUGGUGCGACGCCGCGUGGGGGAAUGAAGGUCUUCGGAUUGUAAACCCCUGUCAUGUGGGAGCAAAUUAAAAAGAUAGUACCACAAAGAGGAAGAGACGGCUAACUCUGUGCCAGCCGCCGCAGU